GUGGGGAAUAUUGGACAAUGGGCGAAAGCCUGAUCCAGCCAUGCCGCGUGUGUGAAGAAGGUCUUCGGAUUGUAAAGCACUUUAAGUUGGGAGGAAGGGCAGUAAGUUAAUACCUUGCUGUUUUGACGUUACCGACAGAAUAAGCACCGGCUAACUUCGUGCCAGCAGCCGCGGUAAUACGAAGGGUGCAAGCGUUAAUCGGAAUUACUGGUCGUAAAGCGCGCGUAGGUGGGUUUGUAAGUUGGAGGUGAAAUCCCCGGGCUCAACCUGGGAACUGCCUCCAAAACUGCAUGACUAGAGUACGGUAGAGGGUAGUGGAAUUUCCUGUGUAGCGGUGAAAUGCGUAGAUAUAGGAAGGAACACCAGUGGCGAAGGCGACUACCUGGACUGAUACUGACACUGAGGUGCGAAAGCGUGGGGAGCAAACAGGAUUAGAUACCCGGGUAGUCC
This 450-nucleotide ribosomal RNA is filed under the name uncultured bacterium. Its description in RNAcentral is "bacterial SSU rRNA". It matches the Rfam family "Bacterial small subunit ribosomal RNA", at positions 354 to 796 of the family's 1533-position model. The record is from RNAcentral.